This 1091-nucleotide long non-coding RNA is filed under the name Salmo salar (Atlantic salmon). RNAcentral describes it as "lncRNA (ENSSSAG00000116834.1)". The record is from RNAcentral. Lineage: Eukaryota; Metazoa; Chordata; Actinopteri; Salmoniformes; Salmonidae.
CUCAAAAUACCAACAUGUGAGAAAUACUGUACUUUAUUAAUGUUUCAAUGGAACCAACCAAAAUCAUACAAUUAUUUAAUACAAAAUACAUUUCACCAAAAUCAAGGUUUCAUAAUUAUUGGCACUCCUCAUUUAGUACUUAGUGCCACCACCUCUGGCAGGGAUAACAGCAUGGAGUCCUGUAAUGGUUGACAAGGUUAAGGAACACAUUUGGAGGGAUUUUGGACCAUUCCUCUAUGCAGAUCCUUUCAAGAUCCUUUACAUUCUUGGGUUUACGCUUAUCAACUGCCCUCUUCCACUCAGCCCACAGGUUUUCGAUUGGAUUGAGGUCCGGCGACUGAGAUGGCCAUGGCAGAACAUUGCUUUUGUUGUCACAGAACCAUUUCUGUGUGGAUCUUGAGUGCCCCCGGACCUCUGGAAAUAAAACAGCCCCAAAACAUCACUGACCCACCACCAUAUUUCACCGUGAGUAUGAGGUGCCUCUCCUUGUAUGCAUCUCUGUUUUGACGUCAAACAUGCCGAUGCUGUAUCUGACCAAAACGUUCAAUUUUGGUCUCAUCUGACCAGAGCACCUUCUUCCAGUCAUAAUUUAAAUGACAUUUGGAAAACUCCAUGCGCUUGCGUCUGUGUCUUGGGGUCAGAAAGGGCUUUCUGCUGGAAACCCUUCCAAAGAGCCUGUGGUUGUGGAGGUGGCGUCUGAUGGUGCUUUUUGGAACCUGGUGACCCCAAGAUGCCACCAAGGCCUGCAAUUCUUUCACAGUGAUUCUUGGGGAUUUUGUUGCUUCUCUCACCAUCCUCCUCCCUAUCCUGGGGGGCACAAUGCAUUUGUGUCCUCUACCCGUGAGGGUUUCAACUGUUCCAUAACUUUAGAAUGUUUUAAUAAUCGCCCUGACAGUGCUCAGUGGUAUAUUCAAUCCUUUGUGGAUCUUCUUGUAGCCAUGACCAGAUUUAUGAAGGUCUACGACCAUCUGUCUCUUUUCAACUGCCAGUUCGUUUCUUUUCUUCAUGGUGUUGGAUGACAAAAGGAUAGUGGAAUUUAAUUCCUGGUUUAAUUUUAGUAGAUGUUAUUUACAAUAACAUUUAAGGGUGCC